AUGAACGCUAGCUACAGGCUUAACACAUGCAAGUCGAGGGGCAGCAUGUGGUUGCUUGCAACCAAUGAUGGCGACCGGCGCACGGGUGAGUAACGCGUAUCCAACCUGGCCCGCAGUAGGGAACAGCCCGGCGAAAGUCGGAUUAAUGCCCUAUGUCUUCCUUUGCAGGCAUCCAAUGAGGAAGAAAGAUUUAUCGCUGCGGGAUGGGGAUGCGUCUGAUUAGCUUGUCGGCGGGGUAACGGCCCACCGAGGCGACGAUCAGUAGGGGUUCUGAGAGGAAGGUCCCCCACACUGGUACUGAGACACGGACCAGACUCCUACGGGAGGCAGCAGUGAGGAAUAUUGGUCAAUGGGCGAGAGCCUGAACCAGCCAAGUAGCGUGCAGGGAACCGACUGCCCUAUGGGUUGUAAACUGCUUUUAUGCGGGGAUAAACUUCAGCACGUGUGCUGUUUUGCAGGUACCGCAUGAAUAAGGACCGGCUAAUUCCGUGCCAGCAGCGGC
Molecule: ribosomal RNA, 502 nt
Filed under: uncultured bacterium
Lineage: Bacteria
Description: bacterial SSU rRNA
Rfam family: Bacterial small subunit ribosomal RNA
Source: RNAcentral